Molecule: transfer RNA, 76 nt
Filed under: Bacteroidia bacterium
Lineage: Bacteria; Pseudomonadati; Bacteroidota; Bacteroidia
Description: tRNA-Gln
Rfam family: tRNA
About the family: Transfer RNA (tRNA) molecules are approximately 80 nucleotides in length. Their secondary structure includes four short double-helical elements and three loops (D, anti-codon, and T loops).
Source: RNAcentral
UGUCCGAUGGUGUAAUUGGCAACACGUCUGAUUUUGGUUCAGAAGAGUUCAGGUUCGAGCCCUGAUCGGACAACAA